This 1014-nucleotide ribosomal RNA is filed under the name Enterobacter kobei. RNAcentral describes it as "partial 23S ribosomal RNA". It matches the Rfam family "Bacterial large subunit ribosomal RNA", at positions 1917 to 2925 of the family's 2925-position model. The record is from RNAcentral. Lineage: Bacteria; Pseudomonadati; Pseudomonadota; Gammaproteobacteria; Enterobacterales; Enterobacteriaceae.
GCCCCGGUAAACGGCGGCCGUAACUAUAACGGUCCUAAGGUAGCGAAAUUCCUUGUCGGGUAAGUUCCGACCUGCACGAAUGGCGUAAUGAUGGCCAGGCUGUCUCCACCCGAGACUCAGUGAAAUUGAACUCGCUGUGAAGAUGCAGUGUACCCGCGGCAAGACGGAAAGACCCCGUGAACCUUUACUAUAGCUUGACACUGAACACUGGUCCUUGAUGUGUAGGAUAGGUGGGAGGCUUUGAAGCGUGGACGCCAGUCUGCGUGGAGCCGACCUUGAAAUACCACCCUUUAAUGGCUGGUGUUCUAACGUAGACCCGUAAUCCGGGUUGCGGACAGUGUCUGGUGGGUAGUUUGACUGGGGCGGUCUCCUCCCAAAGAGUAACGGAGGAGCACGAAGGUUAGCUAAUCCUGGUCGGACAUCAGGAGGUUAGUGCAAUGGCAUAAGCUAGCUUGACUGCGAGAGUGACGGCUCGAGCAGGUGCGAAAGCAGGUCAUAGUGAUCCGGUGGUUCUGAAUGGAAGGGCCAUCGCUCAACGGAUAAAAGGUACUCCGGGGAUAACAGGCUGAUACCGCCCAAGAGUUCAUAUCGACGGCGGUGUUUGGCACCUCGAUGUCGGCUCAUCACAUCCUGGGGCUGAAGUAGGUCCCAAGGGUAUGGCUGUUCGCCAUUUAAAGUGGUACGCGAGCUGGGUUUAGAACGUCGUGAGACAGUUCGGUCCCUAUCUGCCGUGGGCGCUGGAGAAUUGAGGGGGGCUGCUCCUAGUACGAGAGGACCGGAGUGGACGCAUCACUGGUGUUCGGGUUGUCAUGCCAAUGGCACUGCCCGGUAGCUAAAUGCGGAAGAGAUAAGUGCUGAAAGCAUCUAAGCACGAAACUUGCCCCGAGAUGAGUUCUCCCUGAGACUAUAAGUCUCCUGAAGGAACGUUGAAGACGACGACGUUGAUAGGUCGGGUGUGUAAGCGCAGCGAUGCGUUGAGCUAACCGAUACUAAUGAACCGUGAGGCUUAACCUU